RNAcentral lists this ribosomal RNA (923 nucleotides) under uncultured bacterium. RNAcentral describes it as "bacterial SSU rRNA". It matches the Rfam family "Bacterial small subunit ribosomal RNA", at positions 8 to 924 of the family's 1533-position model. The record is from RNAcentral.
AGAGUUUGAUACCUGGCUCAGAUUGAACGCUGGCGGAAUGCUUUACACAUGCAAGUCGAACGGCAGCACGGACUUCGGUCUGGUGGCGAGUGGCGAACGGGUGAGUAACAUAUCGGAACGUAUCCAAUAAUGGGGGAUAACUAAUCGAAAGGUUGGCUAAUACCGCAUACGCCCUACGGGGGAAAGCUAGGGAUCUUCGGACCUGGCGUUAAUGGAGCGGCCGAUAUCUGAUUAGCUAGUUGGUGGGGUAAAGGCCCACCAAGGCGACGAUCAGUAGCUGGUCUGAGAGGACGACCAGCCACACUGGAACUGAGACACGGUCCAGACUCCUACGGGAGGCAGCAGUGGGGAAUUUUGGACAAUGGGCGCAAGCCUGAUCCAGCCAUUCCGCGUGAGUGAAGAAGGCCUUCGGGUUGUAAAGCUCUUUCGCAAGGGAAGAAAACUUAUCCUCUAACAUAGGAUGAGGUUGACGGUACCUUGAUAAGAAGCACCGGCUAACUACGUGCCAGCAGCCGCGGUAAUACGUAGGGUGCGAGCGUUAAUCGGAAUUACUGGGCGUAAAGCGUGCGCAGGCUGUUUUGUAAGUCAGAUGUGAAAUCCCUGAGCUCAACUUAGGAACUGCGUUUGAAACUACAAGACUAGAAUAUGUCAGAGGGGGGUAGAAUUCCACGUGUAGCAGUGAAAUGCGUAGAGAUGUGGAGGAAUACCAAUGGCGAAGGCAGCCCCCUGGGAUAAUAUUGACGCUCAUGCACGAAAGCGUGGGGAGCAAACAGGAUUAGAUACCCUGGUAGUCCACGCCCUAAACGAUGUCUACUAGUUGUUGGUGGAGUAAAAUCCAUGAGCAACGCAGCUAACGCGUGAAGUAGACCGCCUGGGGAGUACGGUCGCAAGAUUAAAACUCAAAUGAAUUGANGGGGGCNCGC